RNAcentral lists this transfer RNA (72 nucleotides) under Salmo salar (Atlantic salmon). It matches the Rfam family "tRNA". From Rfam's summary of the family: Transfer RNA (tRNA) molecules are approximately 80 nucleotides in length. Their secondary structure includes four short double-helical elements and three loops (D, anti-codon, and T loops). Further hydrogen bonds mediate the characteristic L-shaped molecular structure. tRNAs have two regions of fundamental functional importance: the anti-codon, which is responsible for specific mRNA codon recognition, and the 3' end, to which the tRNAs corresponding amino acid is attached (by aminoacyl-tRNA synthetases). tRNAs cope with the degeneracy of the genetic code in two manners: having more than one tRNA (with a specific anti-codon) for a particular amino acid; and 'wobble' base-pairing, i.e. permitting non-standard base-pairing at the 3rd anti-codon position. Lineage: Eukaryota; Metazoa; Chordata; Actinopteri; Salmoniformes; Salmonidae. The record is from Rfam by way of RNAcentral.
UCUUGUGUAGCUCAGUUGGUAGAGCAUGGUGCUUGCAACACCAGGGUAAUGGGUUUGAUUCCCACGGGGGAC